CAGUAGCCGCGGGAAUACGUAGGGUGCGAGCGUUAAUCGGAAUUACUGGGCGUAAAGCGUGCGCAGGCGGUUGUGUAAGACAGGUGUGAAAUCCCCGGGCUUAACCUGGGAACUGCGCUUGUGACUGCACAGCUAGAGUAUGGCAGAGGGGGGGGUGGAAUUCCACGUGUAGCAGUGAAAUGCGUAGAGAUGUGGAGGAACACCGAUGGCGAAGGCAGCCCCCUGGGCCAAUACUGACGCUCAUGCACGAAAGCGUGGGGAGCAAACAGGAUUAGAUACCCCCGUAGUCCCUGUCUCUUAU
This 301-nucleotide ribosomal RNA is filed under the name uncultured bacterium. Its description in RNAcentral is "partial 16S ribosomal RNA". It matches the Rfam family "Bacterial small subunit ribosomal RNA", at positions 509 to 807 of the family's 1533-position model. The record is from RNAcentral.